AUAAGAUGAUUAGUGUCAACAGUUUGAUCUAAUUCUGCAUGGUCUGACUGUCUCAAGUGUCUUCAAGCACUAACCUGGCACAUAUUUGAAUACAUCAUUAC
Etheostoma spectabile (orangethroat darter) is the source of this 101-nucleotide long non-coding RNA. RefSeq lists it as uncharacterized. NCBI's taxonomy places the organism in Eukaryota, Metazoa, Chordata, Actinopteri, Perciformes, Percidae. The transcript is spliced from 3 exons. The record is from RefSeq and is a predicted model, not a curated record.